Molecule: long non-coding RNA, 535 nt
Filed under: Monodelphis domestica (gray short-tailed opossum)
Lineage: Eukaryota; Metazoa; Chordata; Mammalia; Didelphimorphia; Didelphidae
Description: lncRNA (ENSMODG00000033085.2)
Source: RNAcentral
GCUAGCUCAAGCUGCUUAACUGCUUUUUUCCCAAGGUUCCAUGGGAACUGUCUUCCCAUCUUAAUUGAUUGGCGUUUCACAAAGUUCUGAGCUCCUUUUCUUUUUGCAGAUGCUUUUGUCGCUUCUAAAAAUCUUCAUUUACAUUCAACAACAUGAAAAGUGUUUUAAGGAAAGUGAAUUAUUCAACUCUGAAUCAGAACCUAAUAUUUCCCCCAGCUCUGUGAUUCUGCACAAACUACAUCCUAUGCCUGAAAUUUUCUCCCUGGCCUCUUACUCUUGGAAUCUAUAUCUCAAGUGGAGAAGUCCUCUACCCAGACAAUACAAUUAAAAUCACUGUAUGUGAGAUGAAGGAGCGCAAUUUCAAACCAGUGUGACUGUUAUAAAAAGAGGCACACAGUGUGAAGACAGGACACCAAAAGAAGGCUAUGGGACAAAGGCAUUUCCAUGGUUUACUUAGAAAGACUGACUUGGGGAUCCACAACUGAAAUGCCAUGUCUGGCCCCAAAAUGGAAAAUAAUUUUGAGUUACUGAAUAG